Molecule: long non-coding RNA, 190 nt
Organism: Ailuropoda melanoleuca (giant panda)
Lineage: Eukaryota; Metazoa; Chordata; Mammalia; Carnivora; Ursidae
Exons: 3
Source: RefSeq, a predicted model, not a curated record
AGAAUGUGCUCAGCACGAUCACAGUGAUUAUGGAAUGGUGCCUGGCACAGACGGUGUUCAAACCAAAUCUACUGCCCCUUAGACCAACCCGGACACAGAAAUUAUGACCUUGAAGAGAGGUAUUAAUGUAACAAAAGUCUUAAGAUUUCGAACAUUACCGGGGCACCUGGGAGGCUCAAUCGGUUAAAGC